GCGCCCUCGCACCCGGGGCGGGCUCGCUGCGCGUGCCGGGCGCCUCAGAACGUUCGCCGCGGGGGCGGCUCCGGGGCCUGAGCGGGUGCCGCCGCCGCCGCUGCCGCCGCCGCCUCAGCCGCGGGGGCCGGGCGGGAGGAGGCGGAGGAGGAGGCUGCGGCCGCCGGAGCCCUUCUCGACGCCCCCAGCUCCGGCCGGGAAGAUGAUUGAGGAAAGCGGGAACAAGCGGAAGACCAUGGCAGAGAAGAGGCAGCUAUUCAUAGAAAUGCGUGCUCAGAAUUUUGAUGUCAUACGACUAUCAACUUACAGAACAGCUUGCAAAUUACGAUUUGUACAAAAACGAUGCAACCUCCAUCUUGUUGAUAUCUGGAACAUGAUUGAAGCCUUCCGAGACAAUGGCCUUAAUACACUGGACCAUACCACUGAGAUCAGUGUCUCCCGCCUCGAGACUGUCAUCUCAUCCAUCUACUACCAGCUGAACAAGCGCCUUCCUUCUACUCACCAGAUCAGCGUGGAACAGUCCAUCAGCCUCCUCCUCAACUUUAUGAUUGCUGCAUAUGACAGUGAGGGCCGAGGCAAGUUGACGGUAUUUUCAGUUAAAGCUAUGUUAGCAACCAUGUGUGGUGGAAAAAUGCUGGACAAAUUGAGAUAUGUUUUCUCCCAGAUGUCAGAUUCCAAUGGCUUAAUGAUAUUUAGCAAGUUUGACCAGUAUCUGAAGGAAGUUCUGAAGCUCCCAACAGCUGUCUUUGAAGGGCCGUCUUUUGGUUACACAGAGCACUCAGUCCGCACCUGUUUUCCACAGCAGAAAAAGAUAAUGCUAAAUAUGUUUUUAGACACAAUGAUGGCCGAUCCUCCUCCCCAGUGCCUUGUCUGGCUACCUCUCAUGCAUAGGCUUGCCCACGCUGAGAAUGUCUUCCACCCUGUGGAGUGCUCCUAUUGCCGGUGUGAGAGUAUGAUGGGCUUCCGGUACCGAUGCCAGCAGUGCCACAACUACCAGCUCUGCCAGAAUUGCUUUUGGCGUGGCCAUGCCAGUGGUCCUCACAGCAACCAACACCAGAUGAAGGAGCAUUCCUCUUGGAAAUCGCCUGCAAAGAAGCUGAGCCAUGCAAUUAGUAAAUCCUUGGGGUGUGUACCCACCAGAGAACCUCCACAUCCUGUUUUUCCUGAACAACCAGAGAAACCACUUGACCUUGCGAACAUAGUCCCUCCUCGCCCUCUGACGAAUAUGAAUGACAGCACGGCGAGCCACAUGUCCUCUGGGGCACCUACUCCCACCAAGAGGUUACAGUAUAGCCAGGAUAUACCCGGUCACUUGGCGGAUGAGCACGCGCUGAUAGCCUCCUAUGUGGCCCGUCUGCAGCACUGUGCACGUGUCCUGGACAGUCCUAGCCGACUGGACGAGGAACACCGGCUUAUAGCUCGCUAUGCUGCCCGGCUGGCUGCAGAGGCAGGAAACAUGACCCGACCUCCCACCGACUUGAGCUUUAACUUUGAUGCCAACAAACAACAAAGACAGCUUAUUGCAGAACUGGAAAACAAAAACAGAGAGAUCCUGCAGGAGAUUCAGCGUCUCCGUCUAGAGCAUGAGCAGGCUUCCCAGCCCACCCCGGAGAAGGCCCAGCAGAACCCCACCUUGCUGGCAGAGCUGCGGCUGCUGAGGCAGAGGAAAGAUGAACUGGAGCAGAGGAUGUCGGCGCUGCAGGAGAGCAGGCGGGAGCUGAUGGUCCAGCUGGAAGGGCUGAUGAAGCUGCUAAAGGCUCAGGCCACAGGAUCGCCGCAUACAUCGCCCACUCACGGAGGCAGCCGCCCAAUGCCCAUGCCCGUGCGCUCCGCCUCUGCCGGCUCCACCCCCACCCACUGCCCACAGGACCCGCUGAGCGGAGUCGGCGGGGACAUGCAGGAGGCCUUCGCCCAAGGUGCCAGGAGGAACCUCCGCAAUGACCUGCUGGUGGCUGCCGACUCCAUCACCAACACCAUGUCAUCCCUGGUGAAGGAGCUCCACUCAGCAGGGGAAGGUGCAGAGGAAGAAGAGGAGAAGAUGCAGAAUGGGAAAGACAGAGAAUCACCUCUCCCAGAACCUGCCACCACCGUGCUGGGAGCUGUAAAUCCAGUUUGCACGCUUAACACUGGUGCAUGUCUGGUAGACUGACGGCAGUGGCCCUUGGUUAGCCGAGGAGCCGGGACAGAGAGGAAGCGCGGUUACAGAUCUUCCAGGCAGAAAAGCCAGGGCUGCAGCCCAGGAUCCAGAAAAGGAACUUUCCCAGGCCCUUCUGAGCAGUCUUAUCCUGGAGCAGCCUCCGGGCCUUUACCUGACACCCCUGCCUUCCCCCGUCUGCACCAGGCCCUUGGUUCUGUCCUGCUUGCACUCCAGGACCUGCUGUCUCCGGGCCUCCACCGACUCAGGGAUCGGGCAAGUUCAAGACGGGCAGCGCCUGCGCUGCGGAAGUUCUCUCGCUGCCCUGGAAAUCACGGCGCCUCCAGGGCUGGGGCACGCUUCUCCCUGAACUCGCUGCACAUGCAGACGAGGCCCUUCCUGACGCAGGCCUUGGCUGCCGCAGCCAACAAGACAGUCAGGAGCUGACUUGCCCGUGGGGAGCCUGCCAGAGCCCCUCUCCUCAGGGCACACAGGAACUGGGGGACGAGGAGAGGCGUGUCUGCCAUCUGGCCCACCCCUCUCCGUGCGCAUGAGGAACCUAAGGCUUGCUACCCAGGAGUUUGGUGCCAGGAUUGGAAUCGGAGCUGGAUCUUCUGCUCCUAAUGCUGACCUCUGACCCCAGGAGGAGUUAUGAGAAACUCACCAGUAGUGGAAAGUCAAAUGAAAAGCCUGAACACUCAGGUGGACCCUUAAGUUCUGCUCUCUUCGGGCAUGAGGCUCUCUCCCCUUCCACUCAGUGCUUCUCAGCACAUCUCCAGCCUCUUUGCCCUUCUCCUUAGUUGUAAUUCUUCUUCCUAUGAAACCACCACAUUCCAAACCUUGCACUGCAAACGCAGUUCUUUCUUCCCUGGAAACAUUUCCUGACUCUGUGACCUAAGCAAGGACUCCAAAGACUCGAGAUACCCCCAGAAAAGAGAAAGCCCCCUUCCCUAAAAGGGGGUGUGAGUAUUGUCCGCUCUUCCCAUGUCCCGAGUUGAAAGGUAGGCCUCCCAACAGCACCAUCCCUGCACAUUGACUUGUCCUCAGCAGAUGUUAGCAGCCGUUGCUUGGAGACCCUCGGCAGUGCCCCGGGGGUCACAGUGCAUCUGUCCUGCACAGGCACAGGGGACGUGGAGCGAGCUGGCACCGACACGAGGAAGGCGAGGUGUUCCCCAGAGGCGCAUUCCUGUCCCUCUUUCCGCUGCACACCUGGACCAGGCUUGCAGGCUGCCAGACGUCACCACCCG
RNA transcript from Hippopotamus amphibius kiboko, 3381 nucleotides. It is a transcript of the gene named dystrobrevin beta, with no coding region annotated. The record is from RefSeq and is a predicted model, not a curated record. The transcript is spliced from 21 exons. Lineage: Eukaryota; Metazoa; Chordata; Mammalia; Artiodactyla; Hippopotamidae.